GCAUAUCAAUAAGCGGAGGAAAAGAAACCAACAGGGAUUGCCCUAGUAACGGCGAGUGAAGCGGCAACAGCUCAAAUUUGAAAUCUGGCGUCUUUGGCGUCCGAGUUGUAAUUUGCAGAGGGCGCUUUGGCAUUGGCAGCGGUCCAAGUUCCUUGGAACAGGACGUCACAGAGGGUGAGAAUCCCGUACGUGGUCGCUAGCCUUUACCGUGUAAAGCCCCUUCGACGAGUCGAGUUGUUUGGGAAUGCAGCUCUAAAUGGGAGGUAAAUUUCUUCUAAAGCUAAAUACUGGCCAGAGACCGAUAGCGCACAAGUAGAGUGAUCGAAAGAUGAAAAGCACUUUGGAAAGAGAGUUAAAAAGCACGUGAAAUUGUUGAAAGGGAAGCGCUUGCAGCCAGACUUGCCUGUAGUUGCUCAUCCGGGUUUUUACCCGGUGCACUCUUCUAUAGGCAGGCCAGCAUCAGUUUGGGCGGUUGGAUAAAGGUCUCUGUCAUGUACCUCUCUUCGGGGAGAACUUAUAGGGGAGACGACAUGCAACCAGCCUGGACUGAGGUCCGCGCAUCUGCUAGGAUGCUGGCGUAAUGGCUGUAAGCGGCCCGUCUUGAAACACGGACC
This 614-nucleotide ribosomal RNA is filed under the name Didymellaceae sp. JCM 28495. Its description in RNAcentral is "eukaryotic LSU rRNA". It matches the Rfam family "Eukaryotic large subunit ribosomal RNA", at positions 38 to 667 of the family's 3401-position model. The record is from RNAcentral. Lineage: Eukaryota; Fungi; Ascomycota; Dothideomycetes; Pleosporales; Didymellaceae.